Molecule: long non-coding RNA, 323 nt
Organism: Plectropomus leopardus (leopard coralgrouper)
Lineage: Eukaryota; Metazoa; Chordata; Actinopteri; Perciformes; Serranidae
Source: RefSeq, a predicted model, not a curated record
GAUCAGCUCGUCCGGCUCCCUCAACACUUCUUCUUGGACAUUCAUCGACAGACCCUCCUCUGGCUGCCUGCCAUGGCUCCUAAUGAGAACAAGGCACACGUACCCAUUUCAAGACAUCAUUAGAGUUAUUUGGAAAGAACUCUCCAUGCCCUGCGUUCUUAUCACAUCCUGUCCUCAAGUUCCUGUUUGAGCUGAACUGAGUGAACUUGCAGGAAGGAGGGGGUGAUAGCACUUGGCGCGCUUGUCUGUUCCAUUUCGCCGUGAUCCAUGUGUUGUGAUGCCUGCAGUGUCCUGGUUUGACCCUCCACCACCAAAAGACCAAC